This 88-nucleotide transfer RNA is filed under the name Schizophyllum commune. RNAcentral describes it as "tRNA-Asp". The record is from RNAcentral. RNAcentral also lists the same sequence under 1 other name. Lineage: Eukaryota; Fungi; Basidiomycota; Agaricomycetes; Agaricales; Schizophyllaceae.
UCCUCGGUAGUAUAUCGGCUAGUACACCCGCCUGUCAUAACUUGCGUUCGGUGCGCGGGAGAGCGGGGUUCGACUCCCCGCCGAGGAG